GGAGUUAUACUUUAUAAAGAAGAUUAUUUUUGCAGAAUAAAAGAGAUUGUUAUCUAGCUCUA
RNAcentral lists this transfer RNA (62 nucleotides) under Euphaedusa planostriata. RNAcentral describes it as "tRNA-Ala". Lineage: Eukaryota; Metazoa; Mollusca; Gastropoda; Stylommatophora; Clausiliidae. The record is from RNAcentral.